RNAcentral lists this ribosomal RNA (253 nucleotides) under uncultured bacterium. RNAcentral's name for it is "partial 16S ribosomal RNA". It matches the Rfam family "Bacterial small subunit ribosomal RNA", at positions 524 to 776 of the family's 1533-position model. The record is from RNAcentral.
UACGAAGGGUGCAAGCGUUAAUCGGAAUUACUGGGCGUAAAGCGUGCGUAGGCGGUUGGCCAAGUCAGAUGUGAAAGCCCUGGGCUCAACCUGGGAAUGGCAUUUGAAACUGGUCGGCUAGAGUGCGGUAGAGGAUGGCGGAAUUCCCGGUGUAGCGGUGAAAUGCGUAGAGAUCGGGAGGAACAUCCGUGGCGAAGGCGGCCUGCUGGGACGUGGCUGACGCUGAGACGCGAAAGCGUGGGGAGCGAACAGG